Molecule: ribosomal RNA, 1159 nt
Filed under: seawater metagenome
Description: bacterial LSU rRNA
Rfam family: Bacterial large subunit ribosomal RNA
Source: RNAcentral
UGGCUUGGAAGCAGCCAUUCAUUUAAAGAGUGCGUAACAGCUCACUAGUCGAGCGGUCGAGCAUGGAUAAUAAUCGGGCAUAAGCAUAUCACCGAAGCUAUGGCAUCGAAAGAUGGGUAGGGGAGCAUUGUAGCGACGUUGAAGGUAAACUGUAAGGUUUGCUGGAGUUUCUACAAAAGAAAAUGUAGGCAUAAGUAACGAUAAUGCGGGCGAGAAACCCGCACACCGAAAGACUAAGGUUUCCUCAGCUAUGCUAAUCAGCUGAGGGUUAGUCGGGACCUAACGCGAACCCGAAAGGGGUAGUGGAUGGACAACAGGUUAAUAUUCCUGUACCUGCUCUCAUUAAAAGUGACGGAUUGACCAGAUAUCUACGUGGUGACGGAAGUCCACGUUGAGCAUAGCCUUCGGGCGAAGCGAUGAUAAGUAAUCAGUUCCAAGAAAAGCGAGAGAAGCAGCCCGUACCGUAAACCGACACAGGUAGUUGGGAUGAGUAUUCUAAGGUGCUCGAGAGAUUCAUGGCUAAGGAACUAGGCAAAAUCGACCCGUAACUUCGGGAGAAGGGUCGCCCAUCUUCGGAUGGGCCGCAGUGAAGAGGUCCAGGCGACUGUUUAUCAAAAACACAGGGCUCUGCUAAAUCGAAAGAUGAUGUAUAGGGCCUGACACCUGCCCGGUGCUGGAAGGUUAAGUGGAGGGGUUAGCUUCGGCGAAGCUCUGAAAUGAAGCCCCAGUAAACGGCGGCCGUAACUAUAACGGUCCUAAGGUAGCGAAAUUCCUUGUCGGGUAAGUUCCGACCUGCACGAAUGGUGCAACGAUCUGGACACUGUCUCAACCAUGAGCUCGGUGAAAUUGUAGUAUCGGUGAAGAUGCCGAUUACCCGCAGUGGGACGAAAAGACCCCGUGAACCUUUACUAUAGCUUAGUAUUGGCUUUGGAUAAGUAAUGUGUAGGAUAGGUGGGAAACUAUGAAGUGGCGUCGCUAGGCGUUGUGGAGUUAACCUUGAAAUACCACCCUUUGCUUAUCUAGAGUCUAACUCAGAGAUGAGGACAGUGCUUGGUGGGUAGUUUGACUGGGGUGGUCGCCUCCAAAAGAGUAACGGAGGCUUCUAAAGGUACCCUCAGCACGCUUGGUAACCGUGCGUAGAGUGCAAUGGCAUAAGGGU